CUGAAGUGUGCGGGAAAGGCUUAAGUCACAAAUGCUGUGCCACAAGGUAUGCCUAGUCAAGAUAUACCCAGAGGGUCAACCUGAGAAAGCUACCAGGAUGUA
Molecule: long non-coding RNA, 102 nt
Organism: Nanorana parkeri
Lineage: Eukaryota; Metazoa; Chordata; Amphibia; Anura; Dicroglossidae
Exons: 3
Source: RefSeq, a predicted model, not a curated record